GUCACGAUAGCUCAAGUGGUAGAGCAGCGGCGUUUUUAGCCGAAGGUCGUGGGUUCGAAUCCAGCUCGUGACA
Molecule: transfer RNA, 73 nt
Filed under: Cimex lectularius (bed bug)
Lineage: Eukaryota; Metazoa; Arthropoda; Insecta; Hemiptera; Cimicidae
Description: tRNA-Lys
Rfam family: tRNA
About the family: Transfer RNA (tRNA) molecules are approximately 80 nucleotides in length. Their secondary structure includes four short double-helical elements and three loops (D, anti-codon, and T loops). Further hydrogen bonds mediate the characteristic L-shaped molecular structure. tRNAs have two regions of fundamental functional importance: the anti-codon, which is responsible for specific mRNA codon recognition, and the 3' end, to which the tRNAs corresponding amino acid is attached (by aminoacyl-tRNA synthetases). tRNAs cope with the degeneracy of the genetic code in two manners: having more than one tRNA (with a specific anti-codon) for a particular amino acid; and 'wobble' base-pairing, i.e. permitting non-standard base-pairing at the 3rd anti-codon position.
Source: Rfam by way of RNAcentral